This is a long non-coding RNA of Rattus norvegicus (Norway rat), 2215 nucleotides long. The record is from Ensembl. NCBI's taxonomy places the organism in Eukaryota, Metazoa, Chordata, Mammalia, Rodentia, Muridae.
GUUCUAUUGGGGAUUUAGGUCUCCAAGACGACAGUUAAUAAAAUUAAAAUUAUUCUGCAUCUGUGUCAGGCAAGUUUCAGGUAGACCAGGACACGCUUAUACAAAAAAUAUAUGAAUACUAGAAUCUCAGGUACUUUUAGUUUAAUUAUACCGGCGCACUGCAUAAGGAUAAUGAUGUGUCUAGAAAGAAUGGGAGAGGCAGAAAGAGCUAUAGUUAGGGGAGAAAGUCAGUGGAAACAAAGAGAUGGUUAGAAAGUGACAGAGAGAGUGGCACUGAUGAAGAGAUGUGAUAGAGAGCCAAGAGGCAUACACAAAGGGAGAAGCUAAAGGGCAGACAGAAGAAGACAGUGAUGAGGACACAGAAAGAAAUGCUGGGGUAAUGUGACAUCAAGCUCACAGAUACAAGCAAGAGUCUUGUUCCACACAGUGACAUCUCCUGAGUUCUUGGAACUCCUUCCUUAGCCCCAUGUCUUCUUACUGGUAUGAAAUAUAAUUCAUAUUCUCCUUCUGCCUCUUUCCCAUACUAUGUAUGAAGCCCACCACAUGACAGUGUCCUUUAUUUUGUUUCUGGACACAGUUCAAGCACCCAGAAGCAUGAAUUGAUGCACAUUAAAUAUCCACUACAUAUUGAAAUAACAGCAGUAAGUGGCAGUUAGUGACACUGGCUGAGGUUAACGUGGGUGAGGAAUGGCAGUGUUCUAAGUCAGUGUUUUCUGAACUUUAAGAACUAUAGCUAAGUUUUACCGUAACUCAACUGCUUGGCUACCUGGUUUUCAAGAAAAGGACUGGACACGGACUUUGAUGCUAAGAGAGCAUUCCUCCCGUUGUAGUGACUGAGAACCUCAGCCUCUGUAGCAACUGAGGUAAUCUGCUUCAUCCUUCUCUUCAAGAGUACUGUUGACCUCACUGUUUCUGUAUAAGAUCUUGUAGCUUAAAGUCGGUCACAGUGUAUUGUUGGAGACUAAGAGUUCUGAUACUUUGAGCUUCCUCUGCCUUCACUUUAAACAUUCAUAUUGAAAUGAUCAUACUUUCACAGGAAUUUGUGAAGAAAUAGUAAGAUUCUCAAGCACCCAUCAUCCAGUCUCCCCACACAUGAGCACCUUCGUAACUACAGUACCUUGGUGUUAAUACAGAGUACCAGGCUCAUUCACAUUUCAUCACAGAUGCAAUUACAUGUUCAUGUGUACAUACAGCUCUACACAACUAUAUCUCAUGUACAGAUUCAUAUAAACACCACCCAAAUCAAGUUUUAAUUAUCCCAUCAGCACAAGUCUCCUUCUGAGGAUCAGUCCCUUAGUGACUGGCUUUUGUCAACUUGACACAAACUAGAGUCACCCAGAAGGAAUUGAGAGGGAAACUCAAUUGAGGAAAUACCUCCACCAGAUGGGUUAUUGGUAUGCCUAUGGGCUGUCUUUUUUAAAUUAUUGAUUGAUAUGGGAAGGCCUAGCCCACCAUGGGUGGUGACAUUCCUAGGCAGGUGCUCCUUGGAGGUAUAAGAAGGGUAGCCUGGAAACAAAUCAGCAACAUUCCUUCAUGGCCACUGUUUCAGUUCAUGCCUCCAGAGUCCCUGAGCUCCUGCCCUGGAUGAUAGACUGUUAACUGAAGUAUAAACCAAGUAAUCCCUUUUCUCCUCGAGGUAUUUUAUUCAGGUUUAUCAUAGCAUCAGAAAGGAGACCAAAACAGUCCCUUUGUAAAGAUACUCUAGAGUCAGGUAAACCUUGCUGCAGUACAUCACCCUCAGACUUCUGGCUGAAUAAGGACUUUGGGAGUGGAAAGGUCACACCUGAUAUUAAACUUCGGUCACCAUGGUAAGUUCAACACUUAGUCUUGUUUGCAUUGACUUCCAGGGAGUCUCCAAGGAGAAAAUACCUUUCUUCUGCAGCUUCAUUUCUACCUGUAUCAUCUCAUGCACAAGGAGCUCUAGACUACACAGCAGGACAUAUAAAAGGCUCUUUAGAUGUGAAAGAAUAUCAUGAAGCCGUUAGCCAACCAGCCUGACUAGGGAGGGUGACCUUUGUUGCAGGUGACCAGGGAGGCUGGCCUUUGUUGCAGGUGACCAGUGAGGGUGGCCUUUGUUGCAGGUGACCAGGGAGGCUGGCCUUUGUUGCAGGUGACCAGGGAGGCUGGCCUUUGUUGCAGGUAACCAGUGAGGAUGGCCUUUGUUGCAGGUGACCAGGGAGGCUGGCCUUUGUUGCAGGUGACCAGGGAGGCUGGC